CCAUGCAGGGAGCGCCCCAAAGGUGGCGCUAAACUGCUGAGCCACUCAGGCUGCCCCCAAAAUUGUUCUUUUGAGGUUUGAUUUGAAACUCAUGCUCCUCGUUAAUAGAGACAACAGGAAGAUGGGAGACCUAUCUUUGAAAACAGCUUGUUAUGAGCUGGGGAAACAGCUUAAAUAUUCAACAUAGAUGUGGAAUUAAAAGCAAAGCCAGGCGAGAAAUGAGGUCAGGUCUGGAAUUAUGUAUCUGUUAGUAGUUUCAGAUUCACUAACUGGAAAGCGACAAUAUGCUUGUUCUCUAGCAGUUUUAUGAAAGACAAAUCAGUAUAGAGUUGAAACAGGAUUUUAACUUUUGAUUUUUAUACUAAUUUCAGUAUUUUUCUUCUUCUUAAAUUUAGCCAUGUUGAUAUCCCUGUGUAAUACUUGAGUCAGAGUACAACUAGCUAUUUUCACAUAUCAGAUUCUUCCCUUGACAUGAAGAAACAGCAGAGUAGGAAAGAAUUCCUUUGGGGACAGAGCAUGCAUUGUAGUGUUUUUUGUUUGUUUGUUUUUUUGUUUUGUUUUGUUUUUGUUGUUUUAAUGAAAAUUAUCCAGGCAGAAAUUGGUAGUCAGUUAAGAUGUCUGUUUUGGUUGGCAAUCAGCAUGUUUAGUCUAAGAGGCAGGGAACUUUGGGUUCAGAGAUAAGGCCUGAAGGUACAUUGCCUUCAAACUGAGAGACAGCAAAAAAACUGGUGGAACAGGCAAUGAUUGCUUCAGGUGUAUUUCAUUGAGCUUGUCUGAGUUUUACCUACUCAACUGGAAUCUGUUGCAAGUGUGAAAUGUGUGCAUGUUCUUCUUUAUACACAUUUAUUUCUAGCCCUAGGUUCAUAAGCAGUACUUGAGGUCAGUGUGGCAAGAGAGAGUAAUUUAGCAGUUCUUUUGGAAGUUAAAAUUGAGCUUUCCAAAGUGGAGAAUGGAAUGUGUACAGGCCACUCUGGAGAACCUCUCCAGCUUUUUUUUUUUUUUUCCCUUCUCACUCUUGUCCCUUCCAUGCUUCAUUCAACAAAUAUUUAUUUAAUCUAUGGAAUUCAGUAUAGUAGUUAAGAUCAAGUAUUACCAUUGGACAGAUCUAAUUUCCAAUCUCUUACACCUCAGUUUCUUUAUCACUAAAAUGGGGAUAAAAAUAGUAUUUCUAGUGGUGGUAUUUUUAGCACUUAGCAUGGUGCCUGGUAGAAAAAAAGUGCUUAAUAAUCAUGUCACCUAUUUAUUUUUUCAAUGAUGAAACAGAGAUAGCAAUAAAUUACACAAUUAACUGAAAUUAUUAUUAUUAGUCUUAAGUGUGGUUUCCCCUAGAAAUGAUUUCUAAAUUGGGAGCAGGAAGAAGAAAAACUGAAGUUUUCUCUGGGAAAUUUGUGUAUCUUCUCUUUCUUUUUUUCUGGUAGUGGGCUUCCCUCACCAAAAGCAAAAUAGGAGAUAGGAAUUUCCAUUUUGGGGAUAUAGGUAAGCAAGAGGAAGGGGUCUAUGGAAGGAGGAGGGCAUGCAUAUUGGACCAGAACUGAGGAUGGGCACCCAGGAGCAGGCUAGGAGGAGCUAUCAUGAUGUUCAUGAUAAGGAGAGCUUAUUGAAAUUCAGCCAAAGAAUUGACUCAGAGUUGGUGUUAAAAUUGUUAAGAGGGUUAUUCAGGAGUCCAGUAGGGUAGGAUUUGACCCGUCUUCAAUGAGUAGGCAGACUGUGCCAUCAGAGUGUGGCUCUUUAGAUGUAUUUAGAUCUUAGCAUUGAAAAGCACUGAAAAGAUCUGUGUUUCCUAGACCCCUUAUUUAAAAUUAAAAAUAGCCAGCAAAUCAUAAAACAUAAAAUGUACAUGAUCACUGGAAGUGAAAUGAUUUUUACUUUAGAUUUUUUUUCUUUUCUGGAUGGAUUUAUUGAAGAUGAACAUUUUUGUGUGUCUGUACCUUGCUGUUGUCCUGAGCAUGUGUGUAGUCUGCUUUUGUUGGAUAAUAAUAUAGCACUACUCCCAAGCCUCAAGUCAAAACUGGUUUAGCAGAGACAGACCCAGGCGCCUAGACUCAAGAAUAGUCAUCACAUAGAGACGGUUAUCUUAGUUUGUGUUCCCCAAAUUGUUAUUUCUAGGAAUCAUCUUCCACACAAAUUAGUUGCAUUCAGACCUUUAUCUCAAGAUAAGCUUCUGGAAGAACCCAGCAUUAGUUGGAAAUGAGGUAUUAGGAAGCAGAACUGGAAUUAGAUCACUAACCUGCUAGUUUGAGGCAAGGGAUCCAUGACUGAGAAUGAGGGUGCUAGCAAGAACUCUCGAUGAUCUGUAAUAUCACAAUUAUGAAUAGUGUUACCUGUGAUGAAUUGGGAUAAAGUAUAGGUGGAGAGGGGAUGGACUGGCUCAUGCAGUAACUCUAUACUUGAAAUAUACAGGGGCAAUAAUAAUUAUAAGUUGGAUGGCUAUUGUUAAUGGUCACUGAAGUCCUGAAGGAACAAUAUAACAGACUCAGGUCAACCAAAUAAUUAUCUUAAGAUAUGAUGUGAAAACUAGAAGUUUUCCAUAAUAACUUUUAUUUUUUACUUAUUUAAGAAAAAAUCAAAAGAUUUAUUUAUUUUGGAGAGAGAGUGAGCACUAGUGAGGAAGAGGGGCAGAAAGAGAGGUAGAAAGAGAAUCUCAAACAGACUCUGCACUGAGCACAGAUUCUGAACUGGGGCUCCGUCCCCUGACCCAUGAGAUCAUGACCUGAGCUGAAACUGAGAGUUGGAUGCUUAACUGACUAAACCACCCAGGCAUGCCUCCAUGAUAACUUUUUAAAGAGCAUUUCCAGCAGCCAGAAAACAGAUUGUGCUAAAUACCAGGCACAAGACUUGAUUGUAAGGGUAGAUAUAUUACAAAAAAAAAAAAAAA
This 2875-nucleotide long non-coding RNA is filed under the name Canis lupus familiaris (dog). Its description in RNAcentral is "lncRNA (ENSCAFG00000054510.1, ENSCAFG00845017882.1)". The record is from RNAcentral. Lineage: Eukaryota; Metazoa; Chordata; Mammalia; Carnivora; Canidae.